UUGAUUAGUCGAUGCCAACGCACGGUUUGCUAUUUUUCAUUUUUCAUUUUAUAUGAAUAUGUGAAUAUAUUUGAAUAACUGUUGAAGUACCGUAGUCGUGCCAAAUCUUAAUAAAAGGACAUUUUAAGUCCCCAGAAGAAAUCAUCGUGUAUAAUGCCGAGUACCCUGUACAAUCAUCGAAACAAUAUUACAUUUCCACAACACUCUCGCAUGACGUAGGCACAUUGAACGCGGUAGUAAUACAUUGAAAACUCCAGAAAUUUAUGUUUGAAAAAAAGUUAUCGACCCGAACAAACACGCAUCGAUACAUCCCGUAUAAUGUGUAUCAUACAUAUACACAUACAUACUCUUUUGUUUCGUCGAAAACAUUCUAUGGUUUGUAAUGUGAACGUUUAUAUAAUAAUAUAAUGUAGAAUGUCGCAAGGUACACCGUACACCAGCGCACCACCCGCGAAGAGCGAUAUACACAGAGAUUACGGUGUGAAAUGGAACAAGAUGAUGCGCAGGACUUGGCAGAGAACACCAUAGACCAGACUUCUCAAACUUUUCACUACUGUACGAUGAAAUAUUUACAUUUUAUCAAUCUAUUACCAUCAUUUACACGGAAAUUGGAAAUUUCCGUUUAUUUCUCAUGAACUCACGAAUAAACAAUUUUGAAAUAGUUAUAUUCCAAAAUUAUAAUUACAGAUAUUACCUAUCACGUAUUCGACUUCAUUCGACUAUUUGAUAAUAAGUAAUAACGUUGUAAUAAGUGUAGUUUUAUUUUAUUUAAAAAAAAAAUACUGUGUACCGAUAUGAUUUAUUUUCAUAUAAAAUAUCAUAUAUUUAAAAAGCGCACAAGACUUGACAAAAGUUCAAACGUAACGCACAGCCAAAGAACCUAUGGCCUUUAAAUCGUAAAUACAUUAUGACAAAUAAAAUAUAAAUUUCAUUUUUUUUUUUUUUUUUUAUAGAAGUAUAUUAUAUGGAUAAUGGAAAUGAAAAAAAAAUUCUGAACAAUUCGUUUUUUGACCAGUUCAUUGGCAGCAGAUAUAGUGUUAAUUUAGUGAUGUCGUAGUGUUGACGUAUUAUAUUUCAGAAGGUACAAUCUGCAUAACAUUUAUAAACGUACGGCUCAACGACAUAAUACCCGAGUGUCUACA
Molecule: long non-coding RNA, 1142 nt
Organism: Aphis gossypii (cotton aphid)
Lineage: Eukaryota; Metazoa; Arthropoda; Insecta; Hemiptera; Aphididae
Exons: 4
Source: RefSeq, a predicted model, not a curated record